RNAcentral lists this long non-coding RNA (394 nucleotides) under Pan troglodytes (chimpanzee). RNAcentral's name for it is "lincRNA". The stretch from base 279 to 340 matches the Rfam family "U7 small nuclear RNA". The record is from RNAcentral. Lineage: Eukaryota; Metazoa; Chordata; Mammalia; Primates; Hominidae.
GUCUCACCUCGUUACCCAGGCUGGAGUGCAGUGGUGUGAUCAUAUCUCACUGUACAUCUCCAACUCCUGGGCUCAAGAAAUUCUCCUGCCUUAGCCUCCUGAGUAGGUAGGACUACAGGCAUGUGCCACCACACCCAGUAGCAUCUCUUCCUCAAAGAUGAGCCAGCCGUCAUUUGAAGAGGAGGAAAGACUGGAUUGGGGAAGAAUCUGGGGCAAAAUGAAGCCAAAUUGAGAACGAGGAGGAAAGAAGAUGCUAAGGCCGCAGAUAAGCAGGUCUUGAGUGUUACAGCUCUUUUCGAAUUUGUCUAGCAUGCUUUCUGCUUUUUACUGGAAAGUGCCCCCCCUCCAAAAAAAAAAAAACGAAUAAAUAAAAAAGAAAGAUUUAAAAAAUAAA